This is a long non-coding RNA of Microtus oregoni (creeping vole), 432 nucleotides long. RefSeq lists it as uncharacterized. NCBI's taxonomy places the organism in Eukaryota, Metazoa, Chordata, Mammalia, Rodentia, Cricetidae. The transcript has 3 exons. The record is from RefSeq and is a predicted model, not a curated record.
GGCAAGGGGCUGAGCAGAGGGGGGUCCGAUGCCAGUUGCUUAAAAAUGCCCCUGUAGCAUCAAGAGGUGCCAGAACCGAGUCAACUUAGUUGAGAAGCAGUGACACCCACAACCAUACCCCAAAUAAGCUGAGCCUCUACCUCCGAAGAGUCCUCCCUGGGCCAGACAACAGCCAAGGUGAGAGUGAUGGCUAGUCAAAUCCCCCACUACGCUGGAGAAUGAGGAGCCCCAGAGAGAAAUCCUCCCGAGAACCAGAAAAAUGGACAGCGGUGGCCUCCUGCUCCCAGAUCUCCUCCCCUCCUCUCAACCCUCCCUGGAGCUUCCCAACAGACAGAAGCCAGAGAUUCCCCUAGCCCGGAGACAUUUUCUGAAGACGUAGGAAAAGGAGAAAAAGUGGGACACCCCCUGCAGCAGGCCUCCGAGAUGCAGAGA